UACGGGGGGAGCAAGCGUUGUUCGGAUUUACUGGGCGUAAAGGGCGCGUAGGCGGCCAGCACAAGUCAGUUGUGAAAUCUCCGAGCUUAACUCGGAAAGGUCAACUGAUACUGUGCGGCUAGAGUGCGGAAGGGGCAACUGGAAUUCUUGGUGUAGCGGUGAAAUGCGCAGAUAUCAGGAGGAACACCGAUGGCGAAGGCAGCCCCCUGGGUCAAGAUUGACGCUCAUGCACGAAAGCGUGGGGAGCAAACAGG
Molecule: ribosomal RNA, 254 nt
Filed under: uncultured bacterium
Lineage: Bacteria
Description: partial 16S ribosomal RNA
Rfam family: Bacterial small subunit ribosomal RNA
Source: RNAcentral